UUGAUGGAAACCAAAUAGAGGUAUGUCACUGUUAAUGACAAAAUUGAGUUACUACUCCCAUCAAG
Molecule: transfer RNA, 65 nt
Filed under: Chasmagnathus convexus
Lineage: Eukaryota; Metazoa; Arthropoda; Malacostraca; Decapoda; Varunidae
Description: tRNA-Asn
Source: RNAcentral